Non-coding RNA from Spodoptera litura, 516 nucleotides. The record is from RefSeq and is a predicted model, not a curated record. Lineage: Eukaryota; Metazoa; Arthropoda; Insecta; Lepidoptera; Noctuidae.
GCAAGUCGUGAUGUUAAUGAAGAAGGUUCGUAGGUAUAUAAAGCUUCCUUGGAACACCAUGUACUCAUUUAUAUUCAAACACGAUGAGAUAUAAUCGUUUAGUACUAAAGUUUUUGAUAUUAUUUACUUUUGUAUGUGUUAAAAGUGAUUUGAACAAAGAUGGGAGAGUUGUGUUAGUAUCGCCCGUUUUAGCUCCUUAUAGAAACGCAAGAGCAGAAACUAAUGAGACAGCUAAAGACUUUCCUGUGCUAAUGUUGUUGGCUGGCGAUGGAGACAAAAGUGUACGUGAAGACAAAAUGAAGGAUAUUGUACAACAGCCUGUUUAUGUAAAAAAAUUAGAAGACCAAAAACAACUCCGGAGACGCCGUAGAAAAAUAAGCAAGAUCUACUUCGUGCAAAGAUAUUAAUAGUCAACAAAAAACUAUAGAUGAGCAAUUGUUGCCGGAACACAUCUCAUAUUUUGAGUAAAACCCUCAUAAAUAAAUUACGAGGAAAUAAGCGCUUUAUUACAAGUGA